RNAcentral lists this ribosomal RNA (420 nucleotides) under Acinetobacter sp. oral taxon C51. RNAcentral describes it as "bacterial SSU rRNA". It matches the Rfam family "Bacterial small subunit ribosomal RNA", at positions 30 to 447 of the family's 1533-position model. The record is from RNAcentral. Lineage: Bacteria; Pseudomonadati; Pseudomonadota; Gammaproteobacteria; Moraxellales; Moraxellaceae.
AUUGAACGCUGGCGGCAGGCUUAACACAUGCAAGUCGAGCGGAGCGAGGGUGCUUGCACCUUAGCUUAGCGGCGGACGGGUGAGUAAUGCUUAGGAAUCUGCCUAUUAGUGGGGGACAACAUUCCGAAAGGGAUGCUAAUACCGCAUACGCCCUACGGGGGAAAGCAGGGGAUCACUUGUGACCUUGCGCUAAUAGAUGAGCCUAAGUCGGAUUAGCUAGUUGGUGGGGUAAAGGCCUACCAAGGCGACGAUCUGUAGCGGGUCUGAGAGGAUGAUCCGCCACACUGGGACUGAGACACGGCCCAGACUCCUACGGGAGGCAGCAGUGGGGAAUAUUGGACAAUGGGGGGAACCCUGAUCCAGCCAUGCCGCGUGUGUGAAGAAGGCCCUUUUGGUUGUAAAGCACUUUAAAGCGAGGAG